CCUACGGGAGGCAGCAGUGAGGAAUAUUGGUCAAUGGGCGCAAGCCUGAACCAGCCAAGCCGCGUGAGGGAUGAAGGUACAGAGUAUCGUAAACCUCUUUUGUCAGGGAACAAAGGCGGGGACGUGUCCCCGGAUGAGUGUACCUGAAGAAAAAGCAUCGGCUAACUCCGUGCCAGCAGCCGCGGUAAUACGGAGGAUGCGAGCGUUAUCCGGAUUUAUUGGGUUUAAAGGGUGCGCAGGCGGUCUGUUAAGUCAGCGGUCAAAGCCCGGGGCUCAACCCCGGCCCGCCGUUGAAACUGGCAGUCUCGAGUUGGAGAGAAGUAUGCGGAAUGCGCGGUGUAGCGGUGAAAUGCAUAGAUAUCGCGCAGAACUCCGAUUGCGAAGGCAGCAUGCCGGCUCCACACUGACGCUGAGGCACGAAAGCGUGGGUAUCGAACAGGAUUAGAUACCCGAGUAGUC
RNAcentral lists this ribosomal RNA (459 nucleotides) under uncultured bacterium. RNAcentral describes it as "partial 16S ribosomal RNA". It matches the Rfam family "Bacterial small subunit ribosomal RNA", at positions 338 to 795 of the family's 1533-position model. The record is from RNAcentral.